UGGGGAAUAUUGGACAAUGGGGGGAACCCUGAUUCCAGCCAUGCCGCGUGUGUGAAGAAGGUCUUCGGAAUUGUAAAGCACUUUAAGUUGGGAGGGAAGGGCAGUAACCUAAAUACGGUUGCUGUCCUUGACCGUUACCCGACAGAAUAAAGCACCGGGCUAACUCUUGUGC
This 172-nucleotide ribosomal RNA is filed under the name uncultured bacterium. RNAcentral's name for it is "partial 16S ribosomal RNA". It matches the Rfam family "Bacterial small subunit ribosomal RNA", at positions 355 to 508 of the family's 1533-position model. The record is from RNAcentral.